UACAGAGGUCCCAAGCGUUGUUCGGAUUCACUGGGCGUAAAGGGUGCGUAGGCGGGUCUUUAAGUCAGGGGGGAAAUCCUGGAGCUCAACUCCAGAACUGCCUUUGAUACUGAAGAUCUUGAGUCCGGGAGAGGUGAGUGGAAUUCCUAGUGUAGAGGUGAAAUUCGUAGAUAUUAGGAAGAACACCAGUGGCGAAGGCGGCUCACUGGCCCGGUACUGACGCUGAGGCGCGAAAGCGUGGGGAGCAAACAGG
This 253-nucleotide ribosomal RNA is filed under the name uncultured bacterium. RNAcentral's name for it is "partial 16S ribosomal RNA". It matches the Rfam family "Bacterial small subunit ribosomal RNA", at positions 524 to 776 of the family's 1533-position model. The record is from RNAcentral.